This 252-nucleotide ribosomal RNA is filed under the name uncultured prokaryote. RNAcentral's name for it is "partial 16S ribosomal RNA". It matches the Rfam family "Bacterial small subunit ribosomal RNA", at positions 525 to 777 of the family's 1533-position model. The record is from RNAcentral.
ACGUAGGGUGCGAGCGUUGUCCGGAAUUAUUGGGCGUAAAGGGCUCGUAGGCGGUUUGUCGCGUCUGCUGUGAAAGCCCGGGGCUCAACCCCGGGUCUGCAGUGGAUACGGGCAGGCUAGAGUCCGGCAGGGGAGACUGGAAUUCCUGGUGUAGCGGUGGAAUGCGCAGAUAUCAGGAGGAACACCGGUGCGAAGGCGGGUCUCUGGGCCGGUACUGACGCUGAGGAGCGAAAGCGUGGGGAGCGAACAGGA